CCUACGGGAGGCAGCAGUGGGGAAUAUUGCACAAUGGGGGAAACCCUGAUGCAGCAACGCCGCGUGAAGGAAGACGGUUUUCGGAUUGUAAACUUCUAUCAAUAGGGAAGAAAGAAAUGACGGUACCGAAAUACGAAGCCCCGGCUAACUACGUGCCAGCAGCCGCGGUAAUACGUAGGGGGCAAGCGUUAUCCGGAAUUACUGGGUGUAAAGGGAGAGUAGGCGGCAAGGUAAGCGAUAUGUGAAAGCCUUAAGCUUAACUUAAGGAUGGGAUAACGAACUAUCUAGCUAGAGUACAGGAGAGGAAAGCGGAAUUCCUGGUGUAGCGGUGAAAUGCGUAGAUAUUAGGAAGAACACCAGUGGCGAAGGCGGCUUGCUGGACUGAAACUGACGCUGAGGCUCGAAAGCGUGGGGAGCGAACAGGAUUAGAUACCCGGGUAGUC
RNAcentral lists this ribosomal RNA (443 nucleotides) under uncultured bacterium. RNAcentral's name for it is "partial 16S ribosomal RNA". It matches the Rfam family "Bacterial small subunit ribosomal RNA", at positions 338 to 795 of the family's 1533-position model. The record is from RNAcentral.